Paramuricea clavata is the source of this 222-nucleotide non-coding RNA. Lineage: Eukaryota; Metazoa; Cnidaria; Anthozoa; Malacalcyonacea; Plexauridae. The record is from the annotation of a GenBank genome assembly.
GUUUUUUUAAACUUGUUCGUUGUAUUACGAGAAAAUGUUUCAUUUUCACAUAUUGACAGUGAUUUCUGAUAAGCACAAUUAGCCUUUCUCUGGCCAAUUUUCACGCCAUUUGGGGGUACUGCCUCUCCCGUGUUUGAGAAUAUCCACAAAAUACAACUUUUUAGUGUUGUAGUUGUUUGUAUAAUGGUAAAUUUACAGUUACAACUUUUAAAAGUCUUUUUC